GUCUCGGUAGUCUAAUGAUCAAGACUCUCACAUGGAAUGCAAGAGAUCCGGGUUCGAUCCCCAGCCGAAGUA
Molecule: transfer RNA, 72 nt
Filed under: Mycetomoellerius zeteki
Lineage: Eukaryota; Metazoa; Arthropoda; Insecta; Hymenoptera; Formicidae
Description: Trachymyrmex zeteki tRNA
Rfam family: tRNA
About the family: Transfer RNA (tRNA) molecules are approximately 80 nucleotides in length. Their secondary structure includes four short double-helical elements and three loops (D, anti-codon, and T loops).
Source: Rfam by way of RNAcentral